CCCUUAGAUGUUCUGGGCCGCACCCGCGCUACACUGAAGGAGGCAGCGUGUACUCCUGGAUCGAAAGAUUUGGGUAACCCGCGAAUCUCCUUCGUGCUAGGGAUUGAGGUUUGCAAUUAUCCUUCAUGAACGAGGAAUUCCCAGUAAGUGCAAGUCAUAAGCUUGCGCUGACUACGUCCCUGCCCUUUUUACACACCGCCCGUCGCUACUACCGAUUGAAUGAUUUAGUGAGGACUUCGGACUGGGACCGAUGCGGCUUUCGGGCUGCGUCGGUAUUCUGGAAAGAUGUCCAAACUGUAUCAUUUAGAGGAAGUAAAAGUCGUAACA
RNAcentral lists this ribosomal RNA (327 nucleotides) under uncultured eukaryote. RNAcentral describes it as "partial 18S ribosomal RNA". It matches the Rfam family "Eukaryotic small subunit ribosomal RNA", at positions 1470 to 1796 of the family's 1831-position model. The record is from RNAcentral.